GCUGGGGUAGCUAAGUCAGUAGAGCAUGAGACCCUUCAUCUCAAGGUCACGGGUUCAAGCCCCAGUGUUGGGCA
This is a non-coding RNA of Podarcis lilfordi (Lilford's wall lizard), 74 nucleotides long. NCBI's taxonomy places the organism in Eukaryota, Metazoa, Chordata, Lepidosauria, Squamata, Lacertidae. The record is from the annotation of a GenBank genome assembly.